RNAcentral lists this non-coding RNA (29 nucleotides) under Mus musculus (house mouse). Lineage: Eukaryota; Metazoa; Chordata; Mammalia; Rodentia; Muridae. The record is from RNAcentral.
UCGGAGAAAGUGGUCCCAUGGUGUCGAGA